This 520-nucleotide ribosomal RNA is filed under the name uncultured Glomus. Its description in RNAcentral is "SSU rRNA". It matches the Rfam family "Eukaryotic small subunit ribosomal RNA", at positions 569 to 1087 of the family's 1831-position model. Lineage: Eukaryota; Fungi; Glomeromycota; Glomeromycetes; Glomerales; Glomeraceae. The record is from RNAcentral.
AGCAGCCGCGGUAAUUCCAGCUCCAAUAGCGUAUAUUAAAGUUGUUGCAGUUAAAAAGCUCGUAGUUGAAUUUCGGGGUCAGUAGGCUGGUCGUGCCACAGGUAUGUACUGGUCUUACUGAUUCCUCCUUCCUGAUGAACCGUAAUGCCAUUAAUUUGGUGUUGCGGGGAAUCUGGACUGUUACUUUGAAAAAAUUAGAGUGUUUAAAGCAGGCUAACGCUUGAAUACAUUAGCAUGGAAUAAUGAAAUAGGACGAUCGAUCCUAUUUUGUUGGUUUCUAGGAUUGACGUAAUGAUUAAUAGGGAUAGUUGGGGGCAUUAGUAUUCAAUUGUCAGAGGUGAAAUUCUUGGAUUUAUUGAAGACUAACUACUGCGAAAGCAUUUGCCAAGGAUGUUUUCAUUAAUCUAAGAACGAAAGUUAGGGGAGUCGAAGACGAUCAGAUACCGUCGUAGUCUUAACCAUAAACUAUGCCGACUAGGGAUCGGAUGAUGUUAAUUUUUUAAUGUACUCAUUCGGUCCG